AACUGGAGUUUGCUAUUCAGUGGGUUCAUCACAUAUUUGACAGCGGCUUAGUUACCCUCUUGCUGAGAAGUGAGGAGGCUUGUGCUGAUAAGUAGAGGCGGAGGCGGUCCCAAGACUUGAGGAACUCAUCAAUGCAAGAUUGGCUGACGCAGCACUUACUGGAGAGACUUUCCACAAAAACAACAUAGUUUUAGAGCAGGGCGAUCUACAAUUGAUACGUUUAAGGAAGUGAUCUAAGUGGUGAGACAGGAUAACAAAUGCAAUUGCUGCUGUCGAUGAUCUGUUUGCAACGCUAACUGGUACCUAUUGCAGAUACUGAAGGGCCAAUUAAAUGAGGGCAACAUACUCUACGAAAACAUGGUUUCCUGUUGAACACCUCAUACGAUAGUCUUCUGUGACUAGAGAUGCUUGAUGAACAGCAUCUGGUCAGAUAUGAGGAUGAUAUUGCGGCGCUAUUUGCUGCAGGCACGAUCGAAGAAGCUCAGUAUACACGGAUAGUCAAUAGAUGGUUGACUGUGGAUAGAUUGUCUCUAGUUUCAAAGAAAACCAAAGUGGCCGUCCUGACCUAGGAGAGGGUUCCCACAGUCCUCCAUAUGUCGAUUUGUGAAGUCAUGGUCUUGUCGAAGCCGGUGAUGAAAUACCGGGGCAUGAUGAGCGGCAGUGCACACAUCUCUACCUUGUGACCGGUGAGAAUUGGUAAUAAGAUUCGAACGCUCUUCUUCAUGAUUGAAUUCUCUUUCAUAUUUCGCCACAAGCACUGAGGAUUGU
This is a long non-coding RNA of Hermetia illucens (black soldier fly), 768 nucleotides long. RefSeq lists it as uncharacterized. The transcript has 3 exons. Lineage: Eukaryota; Metazoa; Arthropoda; Insecta; Diptera; Stratiomyidae. The record is from RefSeq and is a predicted model, not a curated record.